This 426-nucleotide ribosomal RNA is filed under the name uncultured bacterium. Its description in RNAcentral is "partial 16S ribosomal RNA". It matches the Rfam family "Bacterial small subunit ribosomal RNA", at positions 354 to 796 of the family's 1533-position model. The record is from RNAcentral.
GUGAGGAAUUUUCCGCAAUGGGCGAAAGCCUGACGGAGCAAUGCCGCGUGAAGGAUGAAGGCCUAUGGGUUGUAAACUUCUUUUCUUAGAGAAGAAUAUUGACGGUAUCUGAGGAAUAAGCAUCGGCUAACUCUGUGCCAGCAGCCGCGGUAAGACAGAGGAUGCAAGCGUUAUCCGGAAUGAUUGGGCGUAAAGCGUCUGUAGGUGGCUUCAAAAGUCUCCUGUCAAAGAUCAGGGCUUAACCCUGGGCCGGCAGGAGAAACUCUGAGGCUAGAGUUUGGUAGGGGCAGAGGGAAUUCCCGGUGGAGCGGUGAAAUGCGUAGAGAUCGGGAGGAACACCAAAGGCGAAAGCACUCUGCUGGGCCACAACUGACACUGAGACACGAAAGCAUGGGGAUCAAACAGGAUUAGAAACCCCAGUAGUCC